RNAcentral lists this ribosomal RNA (525 nucleotides) under Acrapex kafula. Its description in RNAcentral is "partial 16S ribosomal RNA". The stretch from base 393 to 525 matches the Rfam family "Bacterial large subunit ribosomal RNA", at positions 2473 to 2606 of the family's 2925-position model. Lineage: Eukaryota; Metazoa; Arthropoda; Insecta; Lepidoptera; Noctuidae. The record is from RNAcentral.
AAAACAUGUCUUUUUGAAAAUAAUAUAAAGUCUAAUCUGCCCACUGAUUUUAAAUUGAAGGGCUGCAGUAUAUUGACUGUACAAAGGUAGCAUAAUCAUUAGUCAUUUAAUUGAUGACUUGUAUGAAAGAUUGAAUGAGAUAUAUACUGUCUCUAAUUUAAUUAUAAAAUUUAAUUUUUUUAUUAAAAAGUUAAGAUAUUUUAAAAAGACGAGAAGACCCUAUAGAGUUUAAUUGAUUAUUAAUUUGAUUUUAUAUUGAAAAAUAAUAAUGAAAUUUAAUAGUUUAUUUUAUUGGGGUGAUAAAAAAAUAAAUAAAACUUUUUUUAAUAAAAAACAUUUAUAAGUGAAUAAAUGAUCCAAUAAUAUUGAUUAUAAGAAAAAAUUACCUUAGGGAUAACAGCGUAAUUUUUUUUUUUAGUUCAAAUAAGAAAAAAAGUUUGCGACCUCGAUGUUGGAUUAAGAUAAAAUUUAAAUGUAGAAGUUUAAAAUUUUGAUCUGUUCGAUCAUUAAAAUCUUACAUGAUCU